GAUGAACGCUGGCGGCGUGCCUAAUACAUGCAAGUCGAACGCUGGAAAUCUAGCUUGCUAGAUUGAAGGAGUGGCGAACGGGUGAGUAAUACAUAAGCAACCUACCCACGAAGACUGGGAUAAUCUCUGGAAACGGGGACUAAUACCGGAUAGGUAAUCGGAAGGCAUCUUCUGAUUAUUAAAGGUUAAAAACACUGGUGGAUGGGCUUAUGGCGCAUUAGUUAGUUGGUGAGGUAACGGCCCACCAAGACGAUGAUGCGUAGCCGGCCUGAGAGGGUGAACGGCCACAUUGGGACUGAGACACGGCCCAGACUCCUACGGGAGGCAGCAGUAGGGAAUUUUCGGCAAUGGGGGAAACCCUGACCGAGCAACGCCGCGUGAGUGAUGACGGCCUUCGGGUUGUAAAGCUCUGUUGUAAGGGAAGAACGGUAGAUAGAGAAUAUCUAAAUGACGGUACCUUACCAGAAAGCCACGGCUAACUACGCG
Molecule: ribosomal RNA, 486 nt
Filed under: uncultured bacterium
Lineage: Bacteria
Description: partial 16S ribosomal RNA
Rfam family: Bacterial small subunit ribosomal RNA
Source: RNAcentral